Molecule: ribosomal RNA, 1735 nt
Filed under: Salmonella enterica subsp. enterica serovar Bareilly str. CFSAN000207
Lineage: Bacteria; Pseudomonadati; Pseudomonadota; Gammaproteobacteria; Enterobacterales; Enterobacteriaceae
Description: bacterial LSU rRNA
Rfam family: Bacterial large subunit ribosomal RNA
Source: RNAcentral
GUUGGGUAGGGGAGCGUUCUGUAAGCCUGUGAAGGUGGCCUGUGAGGGUUGCUGGAGGUAUCAGAAGUGCGAAUGCUGACAUAAGUAACGAUAAAGCGGGUGAAAAGCCCGCUCGCCGGAAGACCAAGGGUUCCUGUCCAACGUUAAUCGGGGCAGGGUGAGUCGACCCCUAAGGCGAGGCCGAAAGGCGUAGUCGAUGGGAAACGGGUUAAUAUUCCCGUACUUGGUGUUACUGCGAAGGGGGGACGGAGAAGGCUAUGUUGGCCGGGCGACGGUUGUCCCGGUUUAAGCGUGUAGGCUGGUUUUCCAGGCAAAUCCGGAAAAUCAAGGCUGAGGCGUGACGACGAGGCACUACGGUGCUGAAGCAACAAAUGCCCUGCUUCCAGGAAAAGCCUCUAAGCAUCAGGUAACAUCAAAUCGUACCCCAAACCGACACAGGUGGUCAGGUAGAGAAUACCAAGGCGCUUGAGAGAACUCGGGUGAAGGAACUAGGCAAAAUGGUGCCGUAACUUCGGGAGAAGGCACGCUGACACGUAGGUGAAGUGAUUUACUCAUGGAGCUGAAGUCAGUCGAAGAUACCAGCUGGCUGCAACUGUUUAUUAAAAACACAGCACUGUGCAAACACGAAAGUGGACGUAUACGGUGUGACGCCUGCCCGGUGCCGGAAGGUUAAUUGAUGGGGUCAGCGCAAGCGAAGCUCCUGAUCGAAGCCCCGGUAAACGGCGGCCGUAACUAUAACGGUCCUAAGGUAGCGAAAUUCCUUGUCGGGUAAGUUCCGACCUGCACGAAUGGCGUAAUGAUGGCCAGGCUGUCUCCACCCGAGACUCAGUGAAAUUGAACUCGCUGUGAAGAUGCAGUGUACCCGCGGCAAGACGGAAAGACCCCGUGAACCUUUACUAUAGCUUGACACUGAACAUUGAGCCUUGAUGUGUAGGAUAGGUGGGAGGCUUUGAAGUGUGGACGCCAGUCUGCAUGGAGCCGACCUUGAAAUACCACCCUUUAAUGUUUGAUGUUCUAACGUGGACCCGUGAUCCGGGUUGCGGACAGUGUCUGGUGGGUAGUUUGACUGGGGCGGUCUCCUCCUAAAGAGUAACGGAGGAGCACGAAGGUUGGCUAAUCCUGGUCGGACAUCAGGAGGUUAGUGCAAUGGCAUAAGCCAGCUUGACUGCGAGCGUGACGGCGCGAGCAGGUGCGAAAGCAGGUCAUAGUGAUCCGGUGGUUCUGAAUGGAAGGGCCAUCGCUCAACGGAUAAAAGGUACUCCGGGGAUAACAGGCUGAUACCGCCCAAGAGUUCAUAUCGACGGCGGUGUUUGGCACCUCGAUGUCGGCUCAUCACAUCCUGGGGCUGAAGUAGGUCCCAAGGGUAUGGCUGUUCGCCAUUUAAAGUGGUACGCGAGCUGGGUUUAGAACGUCGUGAGACAGUUCGGUCCCUAUCUGCCGUGGGCGCUGGAGAACUGAGGGGGGCUGCUCCUAGUACGAGAGGACCGGAGUGGACGCAUCACUGGUGUUCGGGUUGUCAUGCCAAUGGCACUGCCCGGUAGCUAAAUGCGGAAGAGAUAAGUGCUGAAAGCAUCUAAGCACGAAACUUGCCCCGAGAUGAGUUCUCCCUGAGACUUAGAGUCUCCUGAAGGAACGUUGAAGACGACGACGUUGAUAGGCCGGGUGUGUAAGCGCAGCGAUGCGUUGAGCUAACCGGUACUAAUGAACCGUGAGGCUUAACCUUACAACGCCGAAG